CCUACGGGAGGCAGCAGUGAGGAAUAUUGGUCAAUGGUCGGGAGACUGAACCAGCCAAGCCGCGUGAGGGAGGAAGGUACAGAGUAUCGUAAACCUCUUUUGUCAGGGAACAAAGGCGGGGACGUGUCCCCGGAUGAGUGUACCUGAAGAAAAAGCAUCGGCUAACUCCGUGCCAGCAGCCGCGGUAAUACGGAGGAUGCGAGCGUUAUCCGGGUUUAUUGGGUUUAAAGGGUGCGCGGGCGGUCUGUUAAGUCAGCGGUAAAAGCCCGGGGCUCAACCCCGGCCCGCCGUUGAACCUGGCAGUCUCGAGUUGGAGAGAAGUAUGCGGAAUGCGCGGUGUAGCGGUGAAAUGCAUAGAUAUCGCGCAGAACUCCGAUUGCGAAGGCAGCAUGCCGGCUCCACACUGACGCUGAGGCACGAAAGCGUGGGUAUCGAACAGGAUUAGAUACCCUGGUAGUC
RNAcentral lists this ribosomal RNA (459 nucleotides) under uncultured bacterium. RNAcentral's name for it is "partial 16S ribosomal RNA". It matches the Rfam family "Bacterial small subunit ribosomal RNA", at positions 338 to 795 of the family's 1533-position model. The record is from RNAcentral.